Molecule: long non-coding RNA, 2769 nt
Organism: Bombus impatiens (common eastern bumble bee)
Lineage: Eukaryota; Metazoa; Arthropoda; Insecta; Hymenoptera; Apidae
Exons: 2
Source: RefSeq, a predicted model, not a curated record
ACGUAAAUCUUCUACGAUGCAAACAACCAGGCAUUAAUUAUUGAUGAAUAGGAAUUUAAUGAAAACCAUGUUUAUGACGAUUAGAGAUCUCCUAUGAAUGACAAUAAAUACAGACCUAUUAAUUCUGUUAUGAAAGUUGAUUCGAUGAAACUGAAGACAUACAUAUAAUUAAAAAGUUAUAUAACACGUAUUGUAUGAAAGUAUGCACUGCAUACCAAAAAUUAUAUUAUGAACUAGAUUAUACAUUGUACAGUAUACAAUAUACUGCUCUAAAGGCAUAUAUAUAUAUGUAUUAUAUACCAAACUAAAUACAUAGGAAGUAAUAUUUAUUUUUAUGAAAAUAAUGAAGAGAUUCUUAAUGUUUAGAAUCAAGUGUUUUGCGCGUUGAAACAUUGAAACUAUACAGAUACUUUCACCCUAGCGUUCAUUUAUGGAGCAGCAGUGUGAAAAGAGACGGGAGCUACAUUUUCAUACGUGCCAUGUGUCGACCAUAAUUAAAUCCUAAUUGCUGGAGCCAGACUUAAUUUGAUUUGACGCUAAAAAAAAAAAAAAGAAAAAAAGAAAACCUGGAUAGUGUCGAUAACCGUACGUGUAAGGUCUUUGAUCUUGGUUGACAUAGUUUCCAUUGAAAUGUCGUGGAAUGCGUCACGCGUGUCUGCCGACACUUUUACAGAUUAAAAUAAGAAUUGUUGAGGCCAAACACCAUGAAUAAAUGCACAUAAAUUUUCUUUCCUUUAAAAGUAUCGUAUAUGUACACUUUAAUAUCUAUCAAUUGAUUUUGCAACUUAAUACAAUAUGAUUUUAAUUAAUGUGUGCUAAUGGACGUUAUAGCAAGCUUGUAACUAAUGUGGCGGAACACCUAUAACAUAAUUUAUAAGCAAGUUUAAUGAUUAAAAUACAAGGAACAUUUUAUUUUUGUUUACAUUAUUCCUUAUUUGUAAUUGAUCUGGUUUAUAAUACGAAGGAAAUCACGUUUGCUAUUGCAAAUAGAUUUGCUAUGCAAAUGGCAGCGGUCGAGAACAGAAAUAUUUCAGAGGAAUCCAUCUAAAAAUGUAUGGCACUCAAUGGGUCUAAUUAUAUGCAGACAGCUUGUCUCUCCCAAACGUUACACGAAUAUCCAAGCUUUCACUUGUGUUAUUUAAAUACCAGGAUCAUACUUUUCCAAGUUGCUAAAUCUGUUGACUCACGAUUUUUUCCAUUAUUACCAAAACGAUUAUAUCACAUUCUUUGAAUUAAUUACUUAAAAAUUAGCGAGUUACUUGCUGGUCAAUGUUUUCUGCUAGCCGGCCAAAAAUACUGCAAUCUCUGUAAACAUGUUAGAAAAUCCCUACAUAUACCGUAUGUGCAAUAGCAAAUGUGCUAUUGUGAAAUGUGUAUCAGCCAAACUUUAUCAAAACAAAUUUAUGUAAACAAAUAUACUGAAUGUGCAUCAUAAAACAAAAUAAGAUGCAAAUGUUUUUCAUUUGGUGAUUUAUUCCUAAUCUGGUACUCCUAGUUCCAAUAAAAUUGUGCAAGUAUCAGAUAAAUUUAGUUUAAAUGUUGCAUACAAGAAGAAAGAAUACUUCAGUUCCUGCUUCUGGGUAAAAGCAUACAGUGCUGGCUAUAAGUACCAGAACUCUCGCAGAACUCUUGCUUUCCAUUAUUUUUGUUUUCUAAAUAUUUUAUUAUAAUAAGAUAAUAAAAUCGCAAUAAUAUAAAUACAAUCUACGUUAUAAUGUAAAAUACUAAAUAUGGUAUUUGUCAAAGUAGAUACAACGAGUAGGUAUCCUGAUAUUUAUAGCUAAUAGUACGAUGUAAAUGUUUUAUAAUAAGACACCUAGCAAGACACCUCUUAUAAGAUAACUAUGAAAAGAUAGUAGCGUAAGAAUGCAUAGCGUACCUCGUGCACGUACGCAUACACUGUGAAACAGCAAUAAAAGGGGAAGGGAAAGAAUGCAACGUAUCUGUCUACGUGACCAAAUUAACAUUAAGCCCGAAACAAGCAGUCAUGUCGACGGAACAGAAAGUACUGUAAUCACUCUAACACGAUUACGCGUUAAUAAGCACGUUUUUUGCGGCAACCACCGGAUCCAUAGACGGAAAAACUGGUUUGAAACUGUGUUGUGGAUAUUCAUUGAGACACUCGGUUUCUUCUCGUCCUACUAUCGCCUUCUCCUGCCGUUGUCAUCGAGAAUUCAAAGAAUCGUGAAAGCAGAGAUACUGGUACGUGAUCGAAAUGCCAUAACUUUGGCACGAGACUCCUGGAUACCGGCAAAAUUCGUGACGGAACUCGGAUACAAGUCGAUCGAGCGUCUCCUCUAUGUUAUCGCACAUUUACUAAAUUCUGGUUCUUACUGGAAUUAUGUGGAGAAAUCCGGCCGGAUGUUUUCAACCAGCAUGUUUCAUCUGUGCAAUAUUUAGAUUUGAAAGUGACAUUUUACAUAAAGUUUAGACCUUUCAGGCAAUUGCUUUCUAAUAAUCUAUUUAUUAAGUAAACGAUAGAUGUUUUUAUUUUUGGGGUUAGGUUGAGGUUAGGUUUUUAUUUUUGGUAAAACUGGUGAUAAAUUCUAUUCCAUUACGUAUUUUGUAAAAAAAAUUAUUAAGGAAAAUGUAUUUCUAUUAUUAAUUAUAAGACUGCUGACUUUUUUUUAGCAUUUAUGGGAAAUUCUAAGGUGCAAAAAUGCACAGAAUGCAUAUAAUGCACAAAAAUAUACAUCUGAAAUAUGGCACUGAAUACUGAGUAGCUAAAACAAUUUUCUAUCUGCGUUCUAUUUUUUAAUUAUAUGGACA